This 5524-nucleotide long non-coding RNA is filed under the name Salmo trutta (river trout). Its description in RNAcentral is "lncRNA (ENSSTUG00000018501.1)". Lineage: Eukaryota; Metazoa; Chordata; Actinopteri; Salmoniformes; Salmonidae. The record is from RNAcentral.
AGCACUUCUUCAGAAGGAGAACCAUUUGGAGAUUUACUCAUGGUGAAAAUGAGGUCAUGUUAGAUUUUGACAUUUGGGAGACAUUUAAUCUAACCAUGCAGACAGUGUUUCCUGUUAUCAAAGUAGCAUUUCCUGGCCAUCAUUACAAUACAUGUAUCUACAGAUCUACUUGUUUUGGUGUUUGCUGUUAGGUUGUUGUUACAGUGUGGUGUUCUUUGCCUUUAUAAUUACUAUAGAAUAAAUGUAUGUCUUAUACAGGGUGAAGAAUCAGACCUGUGUAGACCAGGCACCACCUCUGGGACCUGGAGAGAUCCCCACUAUCUAGAUGCAGCACCCCAGAGGUUGAACAGUUGGGUGAAACUACUGAGAGGCCUACAGAACCAGGCGAGACAUUAUAAAACUCUACAGGAUAUGUACAAUACCAAGGCCAGACCCAACCAGAAGGAUGUUUCCCAGCUCCUGGACCUUGAAUUCCAAGCAAGACGGGCCUUCAUCGACUCUGAUGCUACUAAGGAGCAGGACAGGCCUACCAAGAUACUUCAAGGGUAUCCCUGCUUCAGAGAACUGGAACAUGUAAGCAAAUGUAUUCAUUUUAAGUAGGCCUAUGCUUCUUUAUCCUGGUUAACACCAGACCAAAUCUCAAAUGAGAUGCGGUGUGGGAACUGAGCAGCGUGAGAAGCCAUAGCAGGGACGGGGGUAAACUACUUCGGGCAAAUGUAAAACAGUGAGCUCGCGAGAAUUCGGUCUGGUUGUCUGUAUGUCUGUCAUGUUAUGGAUGAACUCCGGCGGAUCCUCGAUCGAGGGAACUGCUUUAUAUCUGAACUGAAGACCUGCUGGGGGACCUUUUACAACAAGGCACAGUUUUAUGUAGUGUUCAAAAAGGUAAUGAAGCCACCGCUGCUGGACAAAGGUAAUUACUGGCUCUGUUGACAAUGGAGAAUCCCAUGAACGGAUUCAUUUUUGUUUAAAUAACUGGCUGCAGUAAAUCAAAUGAAACUAUUUUUGUUUUUAACAGUGAAGCACUCAAUCGCUAUGAUGAGGGCUUUACCAGAUAUAUUCCCAUCACCUGUGGCUCCACCGAAGAAGUUAGGACAUGCAAGUGAGGCUAUGCUUCACAUCCUUGAGUCUGCAGAAGACCCCAACACCUUUCUUCAGGAGAGACUACUCUUCAGCCGUGUCGUGAUUAUCUGCGAAACCAACUGCGUACUGGCCAUUGGAACCAUGCCUGUGGUGACCUUCCCAAAAGAGGACAUCUAUGCCAGCGUGACCUAUCUCAUGGCGCGUUAUUACAGUAGUGGGUGUGGAGUCAGCCGCAGGAAACAGGAGUAGUUGCUAACGGGCUUUUAAUGAAUUGCACCAUAAAAGAAAAGUACACCCACGAAAACACAACUGGGUGUGAUCCAACAAACACAAUGAUCCAAUAACACGUACCACUGCAUCAACAACAGUCGACAACAGAAAGUAAGUCCGCACACAGAACAGGUGGGGAAACGGGCUUAAAUAUUCAACUAAACACUAAUCAUAUACAGGUGCAAACAAUCAAGACAAAACCAACAGAAAAGGGAAAAAGGGAUCGGUGGCAGCUAGUAGGCCGGUGACGACGACCGCCACCCGAACAGGGAGAGGAGUCACCCUCGGCAGGAGUCGUGACACAUAUUGCCUUAUUUCAAGACGAUUGCAAUAGCAUUGGAUUCUAAAUUUAAGCACAUUUUCCUACAUAUUGAGAAGAUAAUUCUUAAAUAUUUUCUUUGUAUCCAGACAAAUGUACUUGUUUUUAGUGUAGCUGUACUGGUUUUAAGAAAUAUUUACUAAACAUACAGCCUUAUUUCAAGAUGAUGGCACUAGCAUUUUCUAAAUUUAAGCACAUUUUCCUACAUAUUCAGAAGAUUAUUCUUAAAUAUUUUCUUUGUAUCCAGACAAAUUACUUGUUUUUAGUCGAAACGCACUAGGUUUAAGAUAUCUGUGCGUUCUUUGAGACUAGAUAUUUUUACUUGUUUAAAACAUCUUGGCAAGUAAAAUUUUCCAGUUCUGUUAGCAGAUAAUUUUGCUUAUUGUCACGACUCCUGCCGAGGGUGACUCCUCUCUCUCCCUGUUCGGGUGGCGCUCGGCGGUCGUCGUCACCGGCCUACUAGCUGCCACCGAUGCCUUUUUCCUUUUCUGUUGGUUUUGACUUUAUUGGUAUCACCUGUGUUCCAUUAGUGAUUAGUUGGGUACUUAAGCCCGUUUCCCCACCUGUUCUGUGUGCGGGCUUUUUUCUUUCUUGCACUGUGUAUUGUGUAAGUGGAAUGUGUUUUUGGGUCAUUGUAUUUUCAUUACACCCUGUUGUUAUUUUGGGUGUAUACUCUCUUUGAUGGUGCAUUUAUUAAAGCACGAUAGCAAACGCUCUUGUUUCCUGCGCCUUACUCCACACCCACUACAUCAAGCGUUACACUUAUUUAAGGUAAUAUUUCCUGCAUUUUUUUGUUUUUUUUGUUUUUGAGAGCUGACUUUUUGCAGUGUAUGUUGAUUUGUUUAACCCUUUUGGGUUACUACAUGAUUCCAAAUGUGUUAUUUCACAGUUUUGAUGUGUAGACUAUUAUUCUGCAAUGUAGAAAAUAGUUUAAAAAUAGAAAAGCCCUUGAAUGAGUAGUGUGUCCAAAUGUUUAUCUGGUUCUGUGUGUGUGUAUCUACCUAUCUAUCUGUCUAUUGGGGGAUUGGAAAUGAUGCAGACAAUUACAUUGAUGGAAGCCACAAUCUAUAUGCGAUAUUAAAGCUGAUCUACCCCCUAAAAAACAAAUAAACAUCUCACUUCGGUGCCUUUAUCUCUCUCUCCGUCAGGCCUUCAUCCGCCUUUACCUCGCCCACCACAAGGAGGAGCGCAUCGACGUGCUGCAGCUGGCCCAAGAACCCUUCCUCAUGCCCCCCUUCCGCAAGGCCCUGGCCACCGGUCCUGGGCCGUUGGCAUCGGGCUCCACGCCCUCCACCUCCAGCGCAUACACAGCAGUGCCUCGAACUGAGGCGCCCAACACCAUCCCAGAGGGACCCUGUGGGGGCCACAUUACUCAAACGCCCUCCCUUCUAGAUAGGGGGAUGGGGGAAGGAGGAUGGAGGGGGUAAAAACAGACUAAAGGAUGGAGGAGGAAUAUCUGACGUGCCCUCCCUAUCCUCACCCCUCCUAAGACAUGAAGGGGCAGUGCCAGUCUAUGGCUUGUCUGUAAGACCCAAUGGCUGUACAUGUACACACCCCUGCCACAAUGAAGAGAAAGACCUUGCUUGGCCUGUCCAGUGGGCUGCAUCACAGGGUCAUAGGAAAACAGACUGAAGUCACAGUAUGUUGUGUGUGUGCAUACCUGUUUUCGGGAAAACCAAACAGCUCAAAUCAAAUUGUAUUUGUCACAUAUAUGUGUUUAGCAGAUGUUAUUGCGGGUGUAGCGAAAUGCUUGUAAGCUAGAAGCAUUGCAGCCCUAUCUGUCGGCACCAUUUUCUUACGUAUCCAUUCCAUUUGAUAUUUUGAGAGAAAGGCUUUUUUAUAAAUUAUUGCUUGAGUUGUAUCAUAAGUUGAACUCUAUAUAUUUCCCAAUAAUAGAAUCAAUUGCCCCCCUCCCUCUUUUUGAAGGGCACAAAUGAAGGGGGAGUUUCUAUUUUUGAUGACCAAAGUUGAAGGCAUGCCUGGCUGAUACAACAAUGUUACGUUUUACACACGUCUAACUGUCAAGUGAAAGAAAUAAAUAAUUUUCACUAGGAUCAUCACUUUUAACUGAUUUGAUCAGAUUUAAAUAUUUUCUUGGAUAUUGGACUGGGAGUUUACUUUGUUAUUUGGAUGGUUGUCCAUCUUUUUUUCAUGAGGCUUUCCCCCAAAAUGGAGAGGGAGAGACUUAAUAGAAAUGCAUAUAAACCAUUUAACCGACUUUUGGUAUAACUUUGUGGUUCGUUAGCAAGGAGUUACGUCAAAGAUAAUUCUCAUUCAUUGCAAAUUGUGCAGUGUAACAUUCUAAAUUCCAACAUGACUUAAAUAAUAGCAAAGUUAUUUUAGUAUAUUGUGAAACAUGAUUUCACUCUUGAGCAUAGGUGUGUUGUUUACCAGAGAAAAGCAGAAUAGCCUAACUGGUAAUACUCAAAUAUACACAGCCAUACAGAGCUAGCUACAUGCUACGUACAAGGCUAGCAACACAAUGACUGCCUGAAGAGCCAAUCUAAAAGUGCCUUCAGAAAGUAUUCACACCACUUGACUUUUUCCACAUUUUGUUGUAUGGAUUAAAUUGAGUUUCACUGGCCUACACACAAUCCCCCAUAAUGUGAAAGUGGAAUUAUGUUUAUAGAGAUUUUUACAAAUUAAUGAAUUGAAAGUAUUGUGUAAAUACGUAUUCAAUCCCUUUGUUAUGGCAAGCAUGAUGUUCAGGAGUAAAAAUGUGCUUAACAAGUCACAAAUUGCAUGGACUCAUCUGAUAAGUGUUUAACAGGAUUUUUGAAUUACGACCUCAUCUCUGUACCCGGCCCAUACAGAUAAUUGUAAGGUCCCUCAGAUGAGCAGUGAAUUUCAAACACAGAUUCAACCACAAACACCAGGGAGGUUUUCCCAAGCCUCGCAAAGCAGUGCACCUAUUGGUAGGUGGGUAACAAAACAAACAUACGUUGAAUAUCCCUUUGAGCAUGGUGAAGUUGAUAAUUACACUUUGGAUGGUGUAUCAAUAUACCCAGUCAGUACCAAGACAUUGGUGUCCUUCCUAACUCAGUUGCCGGAGAGGAAGGAAAACGCUCAAGGAUUUCACCAUGAGGUCAAUGGUCACUACUAUUGAUAAUUUUGAAACUUUUACUUUUACUUCACUACAUUCCUAAAGAAAAUAAUGUACUUUUUACGCCAUACAUUUUCCCUGACAGCCAAAAGUACUACUUACAUUUUGUCAGGAAAAUGGUCCAAUUCACGCACUUAUCAAGAGAACAUCCCUGGUCAUCCCUACAGCCUCUGAUCUAGCGGACUCACUAAACACAAAUGCUUUGUUUGUAAAUUAAUGUCAGAGUGUUGUAGUGUGCUCCUGGCUAUCCGUAAAUAAAACAAUAAAAUAUAAAUUGUGCUGGCUGGUUUGCAUAAUAUAAGAAAUUUGAAAUUAUUAAUACUUUUACUUUUGAAACUUAAGUAUAUUUUAAACCAAAUACUUUUAGACUUUUGCUCAUGUAGUAUUUUACUGGGUGACUUUCAGUUUUACUUGAGUCAUUUUCUAUUAAGGUAUCUUUACUUUUACUCAAGUAUGACGUUUCAGUACUUUUCCCACACUGCUCUCCAGCAACUAAGUUAGGAAUGACGCCUGUAUUUUGUAGUGACGGUGUAUUGAUACACCAUCUAAAGUGUCAUUAAUAACUUCACCAUGCUCAAAGGAAUAUUCAAUGUCUGCUUUUCCUAUUUUUACCCAUCUAACAAUAGGUGCCCUUCUUUGCGAGGCAUUGGAACCCUCCCUGGUCUUUGUGCUUGAAUUUGUGCUUGAAAUUCACUGCUCGACUGAGGGACCUUACAGAUUCAUUAAUUAUCUGAAUUAAUGAAUAAAAUGAA